This 390-nucleotide unclassified non-coding RNA is filed under the name soil metagenome. RNAcentral describes it as "partial contains 5.8S ribosomal RNA, internal transcribed spacer 2, and large subunit ribosomal RNA". The stretch from base 1 to 122 matches the Rfam family "5.8S ribosomal RNA", at positions 35 to 154 of the family's 154-position model. The record is from RNAcentral.
GAUGAAGAACGCAGCGAAAUGCGAUACUUGGUGUGAAUUGCAGAAUCCCGUGAACCAUCGAGUUUUUGAACGCAAGUUGCGCCCGAAGCCAUUCGGCCGAGGGCACGUCUGCCUGGGUGUCACGCAUCGUUGCCCCCCCAAACUCCGGUUCGGGCGGGGCGGAAGUUGGCCUCCCGUGCGUGCCUGCGCGCGCGGUUAGCCCAAAAGCGAGUCCUCGGCGAUGAGCGCCACGACAAUCGGUGGUUUUUUUACCCUCGUUCCUCGUCGUGCGUGCCCCGUCGCCCGAACGCGCUCUUGCAACCCUUACGCGUCGCCUCGGUGGCGCUCCCAACGCGACCCCAGGUCAGGCGGGACUACCCGCUGAGUUUAAGCAUAUCAAUAAGCGGAGGA